Molecule: ribosomal RNA, 301 nt
Filed under: uncultured bacterium
Lineage: Bacteria
Description: partial 16S ribosomal RNA
Rfam family: Bacterial small subunit ribosomal RNA
Source: RNAcentral
CAGCCGCCGCGGAAUACAGAGGGUGCGAGCGUUAAUCGGAUUUACUGGGCGUAAAGCGUGCGUAGGCGGCUUUUUAAGUCGGAUGUGAAAUCCCUGAGCUUAACUUAGGAAUUGCAUUCGAUACUGGGAAGCUAGAGUAUGGGAGAGGAUGGUAGAAUUCCAGGUGUAGCGGUGAAAUGCGUAGAGAUCUGGAGGAAUACCGAUGGCGAAGGCAGCCAUCUGGCCUAAUACUGACGCUGAGGUACGAAAGCAUGGGGAGCAAACAGGAUUAGAUACCCCCGUAGUCCCUGUCUCUUAUACA